AACUCUAGUUCAAUUUUGUUGAUUCAGAUUACUUGAAUCUUGCAGUUGUCAGUUCAUGCAGACAGUAUUGGUUAAGAAAGACUAGUUCAACUUGGUUGAUGUAGAUUACAUGCUGUUAGUAGUUCAACUUGGUUGAUUUAGAUUAUAUGAAUCUUGUUGUUAGUGGUUCAACUUGGUUGAUGUUGAUUACAUGAAUCUUGCCGUUAGCAGUUCAACUCUUGUUCAACUUGGUUGAUUCUGAUUACACAAACCUUGCUGUUAGCAGUUCAACUCUAGUUCAAGUUGGGUGAUGUUGAUUACAUGAAUCUUACUGUUAGCAGUUCAAUUCUUGUUCAACUGGGUUGAUUUUGAUGACAUGAAUAUUGCCGUUAGCAGUUCAUGCCAUUUCUGCAAUACAGUUAGGUUGCUUAUGGUAAAUUUUGACCUAUUGAUGCUUAUGGUAAUUUUUGACAGUUCAUGCCGACAGUAUUUGUUAAGAAACACUAUACAUCUUAGGUUUGGACAUUGGCAUCUUCUGGUAUUGCCCACUAAUUGCUGGGUUGUUACAUUACUACCUUCCUUAUCCUCCUUUUCUGCAACACAGUUCAUCAUGUCAUAUUUGCUCUGCUUUCAGCACCUUCUACUACAAUCAUAAUUCAACAUCUCUUGAUAACCAAGUUGUCAUGCUUGAUGUCUGAACAAAGCUGACUAAUACAUCUCUUGAUAACCAAGUUGUCAUGCUUGAUGUCUGAACAAAGGUGGCUAACACCUCUCUUGAUAACCAAGUUGUCAUGCUUGAUGUCUGAACAAAGAACGAAGGCUCGCGAGGAGCCCGGCUUUGAAUUAACAAAGCCAUCAACCGGCCAGGAGUUACAGCAAACAACCAAAUUACAGCGGUCAGAAGGAUACAAUGGGAACACUGGACUGAAACGCUAACUACAACCUCCACAAGCAGCUAAAGCAAAGGAAAUUAAGAUUACAGCUUGCAAAGGCCGAGCACUCCACACUAGGAUCAUAUGAGGAAAAGCAGAGCAGCAAAGCAGGGCAUAUCUGACCUUCAAAGAUGGCCAUGCUCCAGGAACACCUAGAGAAGAAGGGGAACAACAUCUUCCAUCUCAAUCACCGAAGAGGGACCCUACCCCCUCGCCAUGGCUCGUAGGCGCCGCACCGUUGGGGUUUCGAGGAGCUCACCCUAGAGCUCGAAGAAUGCCGCCCUCACAUCGGAAGGUGGACAUAGUGCGACCACUUCAAUUUGGGAUAUCCCUAGCCGGCCGCUCCGCCACGGUCCAUGCCCAGCUAGGUGGAAAUAUGCUUCGUGGAAUCGGACGAUGAAGAGGAGGCAGCUCCGUCCCUCACCUGCAGCGCCUCCCGACCGCAUCCCGCCUCCCUAACGGCGCCUCCAGCAAGGUCACGGUGCGCAAGGCGGCGCCGCCGCCAAAUCCGAGAGGAUAUAAGGUUUUCACCCGGGCAGGGUGGGUCGGGGUGGAAGCAGGGGACCUCGGCUGCGCCCCCAUGGAGGAAAGCAGCGCCCUUGGGCGUUGCCGCCGCCGGACCGGCCGGACCGGCCAAGGUUUCCCCCGGUCCCCUAGCUGGCCACCAACUCGCACCAACGCCAGGGCCAGAGAGCAAAUCACAAGCCACCGCCGACGGCGAGAGAGAGGUAGCCGGGAAGGGAUUUCGAACCUCCAGAUCUGACGAAGAAUCUUCGCGCCGCGGCCGGAUUCCACCAACCACCCGCCGCCCGCGCGGCCAGGCACACUGGCCAGCACCCCUGCGAACGCCGCCCGCCGCCGCCGCCUCUCCGGUUGGGGCCGCCGCCCCAGGAACCGCAGGCCUCCGAGAGGGGCUGGAGCACCGAGAUCCUCGCCGCCACCUUCACCGGCGCCCGCGCAGGCUUCCCGGCGGCCGUCUCCGGUAGCGGCGAGGGGAAGAAGGGAGUGGAGGGGGGGGGGGGGUGGCGGCGGCCGCGGAACCCUAGUCGCCCCCGAGUCGCCCAGGGGGGCGACGCGAGGGCCGGGGGGGGGGUCAGAGUUGCCAGACACUGUUCUUUUAUUGCUGAAUAACUGCACAGAGGGGGAAGAUAAGUGUCAAUUUGUUGUGCUUUCCUACUAUGUUGUAGUAUUGGAGUAUUUGUGAAUUUAGGAUAUUUUGUUCUGAGCUUUUUAACUGGCAUAUGUAUGCGUUACUAGGGAAUUCAAUUACUUCUCGACUGUGAUUUCAUUGAUCAAUGGAGCAGUUAUAAUGUUAUUGCCCUUUCAGAAAUGGGAAGUUCCCUAUCUACUCUAGUUCAACUUCGUUGAGUUUGCAUUACAUGAAUCUUGUCGUUGGCAGUUCAGUAGCAUCCUAUUCUGGCUUAUGCUAAAUUCAACAGUUAAUGCCAACAGUAUUGGUUAAGAAACACUACAUCUUAAUUUCCUUAUGUUGCUGGAUUCAGCAUCUUCUUAAUUGGCCAACACUUCCUUAUUUGUGACAUUAUUGUGCGGUUUAUCUUCUUUUUAUGUAAUAGAUGUACCUUUCAUCUAGGCAUAUUUGCUCAACUUCGAACAUCUUCAAUUGCAAUCAUCAUUAAAAGCUAUCAUGCUUGAUCCGAACAUACAUGACAAACGUUUCACUCGCUAAUCAUGUUGGAUUACGUGUUGUGUGGUUUUCCUAUACCUCCAUAACUCAUAUCCUUGAUGGCGUUUAUUUUUGCAUCCUAUUCAGUUUAUAGUUGACUAAAGCAGUGACCAGCAAGUUUUAAAAUAAUAGCAUAUCACGCUAUCAGUUAAUUGGUUUUACUGUUCCAUUUCUGCUUAUUUUGGCUGACAAAGAUAUCCAGAAACUUCUGCACCUUCUGAAUGAUGUCCAUUUACCUGUCAUACUAGUCUAUUUGAAUUACUCGACACUUGCUACUUGUUGUUGGAAACUGGUCUUUGAUUAUUGGCAUCAUUCCUAAGAGACAUUCUUUGAGGUGAAACGUAUUGAAAUUCGACCAUCUCUCUGGUACGAAAUACGAACUGCUUCAUGCCUAUCUAAUUUCAGUUAGUAUUUUUUUUCCUAUGCUGCACUGCUGGUAGCCUAUACCACAUACUAUGAGUGGCACUGAUCAUGUUGUGAGAAUAAUGCCUGAAAGUAAUGUCUGCAAUAUGAAAAUAUCAACAAAUUUGAAGUAUCAGUUUUCAUAUAGCUUCUUGAAAAUGUUAGAACAGGGAUGUCAUGAAACUGUCAUGAGAAUUUAUGUGCUAUAGUUGAGUGCUUUUACAAUUCCUUGUUCUGAUGUUGUUAGUACUCGUGGACCACAUAUACAGUUAUGCCCUUGAACUGUGAUCUCAAGCAUAUUGUUCAUGCUGAAUUCAUGGUUCCUAAUUGGAAUACUGUACCACUCCCUCCGUUCCAAAAUAAGUGUCUUAACCUUAGUGUACAACUUUGUACUAAAGUUAGUACAAAGUUGAGACACUUAUUUUGGGAGGAGGGAGUAUUAUUUUCACUCAUUUAUUUUGCUGUGAUUUGUACUUCAUAAAUACCUGGGCAUCCUAACCUAGCCAUUUUGUGCUUGCUCCAUGAUGUGACCUGACCAUUUUGUGCAUUUUUCUGCCCUGAUCUCCACUUGAUACAAAUUUAUCCUAACUUUCUUGUUAGCUUAUCUGCUAAGUUAUGAAGGCCUAUAUAGCAUGAUGUGACCUGACCAUUUUGUGCAUUUUUCUGCCCUGAUCUCCACUUGAUACAAAUUUAUCCUAACUUUCUUGUUAGCGUAUCUGCUAAGUUAUGAAGGCCUAUAUAGCAUGUAAUUUGCAUAUAAUUCUGGAAUUACAAUUGGUCACCUGAAAAACGGCUCCACCUCAGUUUGUUUGCUGAUCUCAUCUCAUCAAGUUCUCGACCUAUUAAUCAGUCUUAUUACCCUGCAACCCUAUAUAGCUAAAAAGUUGCAUGUUCUGGAAGAAGUUUCAUGGCCCAUCUGCUUGUUUCGUGUAUCAAGUGAUUUUGCAUUCUGGAACUAACAAUAGCGAAGAAACAGUUGUUGAUGCCCUGUUGAUGCGAUGAGAUCAGCAAACAAAAUUUUAAGUAUGCACACCAGUUAAGUUGUUAGUUCCAGAUUGUAAUUUGUUUGCUGAUAUGAGUAAAUUUGUUGAUGCCCUGUUGAUUAGAUGGGAUCAGCAAACAACUUUUCCCCCACUAUUGUUAGUAACAAUAGCGAGAAGUAUUUAACCGUUAAUUGUUGACGCCCUGUUGUCUUACUUAAAAUCCAGUUUGCAUGUAGGAGCAGGACCAGCAACCUGCAUCCCCCUUGGCACCAUCUAAUGAGAAUCUACCAAUGAUAGUAGGGAUGUAAGUGGACGCAUCCACUUUACAUCCCUAAAUGAUAAAUCGAUCGCAAAUAACUAGCGUUGAACUGCAUGCGUUGCGCACUUGAUGUGAAACUGAGAAUCGCUUAAGCAAUAUGGGCCAGUAUUGACUGCAUCUCAAUGUAUGUUUCGUUCACCAUAUCUUUUUAGUCUGCAUUUUUCUGUUCAGAUCUCUACAUAGUUACUGAUGGGCAAGGCUCUGUGGCGCUGCGAGGCCAAGGAAGGAGUAUUUGACAUUUUGACUGCUGAGUUGUUGACGCUGCGAUGUUUUCCUCAGGCACAAUGGAUUAACCGACCACAGCUCCCGGAAAAAGUGAAGAAUGACGCGCGGAUCACGGACGGCCCUGGGACUCCGGAUGAGAACAAAGGUGAGUCAUCGGAGCGACGAGCAACUCAGACACGUUUCCCUUUCUUCUAACAUGA
This is a long non-coding RNA of Triticum aestivum (bread wheat), 4724 nucleotides long. RefSeq lists it as uncharacterized. NCBI's taxonomy places the organism in Eukaryota, Viridiplantae, Streptophyta, Magnoliopsida, Poales, Poaceae. The transcript is spliced from 3 exons. The record is from RefSeq and is a predicted model, not a curated record.